This 323-nucleotide long non-coding RNA is filed under the name Pongo abelii (Sumatran orangutan). RNAcentral describes it as "lincRNA". Lineage: Eukaryota; Metazoa; Chordata; Mammalia; Primates; Hominidae. The record is from RNAcentral.
AGUGCCCUGGGUUGAAGGAUUCUUGGUGAGUUAAAGACCCAUUAUUGUCUUUGGCUGUAAAUGAACUCAAGGUCACUAGGAAGUGAGUGGAAAGUCAGAUGAAUUCUGUCUGUCGGAGGCAGGCCAAGGGCAAAGAAGGCACAGAAGCCACUUCAAAACUUUCAGGCCUUUUGGGAGGAAGGGGUGGGUAUGGAAUGAGGCUGACUUUCAAAGAUGAAGCUGUGACAGAUCAGAAAUCUGUAUUUUUGAGCCAGACUAUGUCUGUGUCUAGAUUUGCCUUUGUCUUUUUGUUGUCAGAAUUUCAUUAAACUAAUUAUUCAUUC